Molecule: ribosomal RNA, 274 nt
Filed under: uncultured bacterium
Lineage: Bacteria
Description: partial 16S ribosomal RNA
Rfam family: Bacterial small subunit ribosomal RNA
Source: RNAcentral
AUACGGAGGGUGCAAGCGUUAAUCGGAAUUACUGGGCGUAAAGCGCGCGUAGGCGGUUUGGUAAGUCGGAUGUGAAAGCCCCGGGCUCAAUCUGGGAAUUGCAUUCGAUACUGCCAGACUAGAGUAUGGUAGAGGGAAGUGGAAUUCCGGGUGUAGCGGUGAAAUGCGUAGAUAUCCGGAGGAACACCAGUGGCGAAGGCGACUUCCUGGACCAAUACUGACGCUGAGGUGCGAAAGCGUGGGGAGCAAACAGGAUUAGAAACCCCUGUAGUCC